RNAcentral lists this ribosomal RNA (478 nucleotides) under uncultured bacterium. RNAcentral describes it as "partial 16S ribosomal RNA". It matches the Rfam family "Bacterial small subunit ribosomal RNA", at positions 28 to 523 of the family's 1533-position model. The record is from RNAcentral.
GACGAACGCUGGCGGCGUGCUUAACACAUGCAAGUCGAACGGUAAGGCCCUUCGGGGUACACGAGUGGCGAACGGGUGAGUAACACGUGGGUGAUCUGCCCUGCACUUCGGGAUAAGCCUGGGAAACUGGGUCUAAUACCGGAUAGGACCCUGGGAUGCAUGUCCUGGGGUGGAAAGCUUUUGCGGUGUGGGAUGGGCCCGCGGCCUAUCAGCUUGUUGGUGGGGUAAUGGCCUACCAAGGCGACGACGGGUAGCCGGCCUGAGAGGGUGACCGGCCACAAUGGGACUGAGAUACGGCCCAGACUCCUACGGGAGGCAGCAGUGGGGAAUAUUGCACAAUGGGCGCAAGCCUGAUGCAGCGACGCCGCGUGAGGGAUGACGGCCUUCGGGUUGUAAACCUCUUUCAGUAGGGACGAAGCGCAAGUGACGGUACCUACAGAAGAAGGACCGGCCAACUACGUGCCAGCAGCCGCGGUAA